Molecule: long non-coding RNA, 1097 nt
Filed under: Dasypus novemcinctus (nine-banded armadillo)
Lineage: Eukaryota; Metazoa; Chordata; Mammalia; Cingulata; Dasypodidae
Description: lncRNA (ENSDNOG00000051685.1)
Source: RNAcentral
AGCCGAGCUGAAGUGGGCAGGAGUGGCCUGCACCUCCAGGGAGCUUGGGGUGUGUGUGGGGGUGUAGGCGUGGGCAUUUGCACGGGGUCCCAGAGCGAGCCUCUGGGAGCAGGGGAACUUGGGGCUCUUCCGGGGCGGGAGGCCGUGGCCUCUGCAGCCUCCACGCCCACCGCCCCAUGUGGCCAGGCCCUAAGGAGCAGUAGGAGGGUCUGGGCGCUGCCCACAGCCCUUCCUGCCUGUUCCUCCCUCCCACAGGGAGCCCAGCGGAGUGGACGGGGCGGCUGGGGGCAGCGGCUUGGCAACAGACCUGCGGUCCUCAGACAGCUCAAGUCCUGGUUCGCCCCCUCCCUCAGGAGGAUGCUGUGGUGGCAGAAGCAGCAGCCGGAGGGAGAACGGGAAAAAGUAGCCGUGGAGAAGGCAGACGCCUCUGUCACCCCCAGAUGUGUCUCCCGAGGCCCUGACUGUGGGGCUCUGGAGGCAGAGCCAGGCCGGGGCUGGCAAGAAAGAGCUGCUCGUUCCAUGAGGACGGACUCCUUCCCUCUGGGUUCCUGGAGGCUCCUCUGAGGGACUGCGAGCUGGAGAAGGCCAAGAGAGGGCCGUGCAGCAGGCCCGGGGCUAGCUCGGCAGCAGCCCCAGCAGCCUCGGCGAGAGGCAGGGACAAGGAGGGGUGGGAAGAUUCCAGAACUCCUGGAGAGUUGAGAGCUCACGCGUUUCUAAUUCAGGGCUUUCCAUUCAUUCUCUAACUUAAUUCUCAAAAUAACCCACGGAGACUGGCAAUAUUGUUGUCCCCAUUUUAUAAACGAGGAAGCACAUAGAGAGGUUAAAUAAUUGGGCCAGCAUUGCCCAGCUGGUCAGCAGUGAGCCCUUCUCUUGGCCACCGGCGUGUGGCCUCUGGAAACCUACCCGCACGGCACGGCCUGCAGGCCAGGGCUGUCGUCUCCAUUGGCCACGGUGGCCUGUGCCUCUCCCCAGGGCUCCUCCUGUCGUUGGCCGCUCUGCUGAAAUUAUCAAUAAGAAAUGCCAGCUGGAUCUGUGACAUGUCUGCCCGCAGCUGGAUGCCAGCAAACGACAGCUUGUCCUUGGAGCGUGUUUUCUGU